Molecule: ribosomal RNA, 273 nt
Filed under: uncultured prokaryote
Description: partial 16S ribosomal RNA
Rfam family: Archaeal small subunit ribosomal RNA
Source: RNAcentral
UACCGGCAGCUCAAGUGGUAGCCGCGAUUAUUGGGCCUAAAGCGUUCGUAGCCGGAUAAGUAAGUCUUUGGUUAAAUCCUGCAACUUAACUGUGGGAAAUCUAGAGAUACUGCUUGUCUUGAGACCGGGAGAGGUUGGAGGUACUCCCAGGGUAGGGGUGAAAUCCUGUAAUCCUGGGGGGACCACCUGUGGCGAAGGCGUCCAACUGGAACGGGUCUGACGGUGAGGGACGAAACCUAGGGGAGCGAGCCGGAUUAGAAACCCUAGUAGUCC